AAAUUCAGUCUUCGCACAGAAAACAAAAAAAAAGUUAUUAGAGUCACAGAGAGAACUCUCUCGAGAACAAACCCUAAUCCCGUCACCGUUACCCUAUCUCCAACCGACGAAACUCUCUGUCGACACCUUGAAGGCCGAUUUCGUGCUCUGUAACUCAAGCUUGGUUGAAAAGAGGAGGAUGACCUGAAGUUGUGAACGGAUCCAAGCUCAGUUGAAUCAGACGAGGAAAAAAACCGACUCUUCACCAUCCGCGAGAGACGAACACAGUUCCGAGCUUCCUUUCCUCGUUAGCGGAGGCGGAGAAUAAUGAGGAAUAGGAAGACAGCGGUGAAGAUAUAGAUUGUGGUUGAGUAUGUUCCAGAGCAGCCCGAGUUUGAAGAUGGUUUUAAUGUUGAGUUCAAGCAAAUCUUUGAGAAGUUUAACUUCAGGGAACAUGUCUGAUUAUCUCUUUCUAAGAGACAGUUUUAGUAUCAUGGUUGAAGUUUGUAAGUUAAAUGAAGAAGUUUUACGGUUGGAGCAGAUGGUAUCUUAAUAGAAGCUUGUCAGAAUUUGAAUAUGUUCCUUCUCUUUCUGCUUGCGAGGUUUUGAGAUGCAUCGCUUUGUGUUAAGAGAAGAUCUACACAUCAGAUCCAGACUCUCUAAUUCAUCAUCUGCAAUGGCUCUUGGGUUACUUCAGAUCCUAGUUAUCAAGAAGAAGUAAGUAUACAUUUCUUAAACUUAUAGACUAUGAAGUGAAUGUAUUAUCCAUUCUUAAUUCAUAAGCUUAGACAGCUGAACCUUUUUUAUUGUUUUUUUAAUAGUAUUUAUGAUUGUUCUAUCAUUUUAUCCGUGGUGUACAUGUACUGCUCAUUGGACACCAAACUCCGGAGACAUGAGUGUACUUCAAUACGAUGAAGUGAAAAUGCAGAAACGGUCGGAAUCAUGUUCCUCUAGCACAAGCGCAGUGACUGGUGAAAUGGCUUUACAUUGGGUAAAUGGCACAGACUUAUGUGAUUUGUAUUUCAGAAUCCUGAUCAGAUGCUUCUUGGUCCCAAUGGCUGUGUGGAUAAUGGUACCCUUUCUAAAG
Molecule: long non-coding RNA, 1066 nt
Organism: Brassica oleracea var. oleracea
Lineage: Eukaryota; Viridiplantae; Streptophyta; Magnoliopsida; Brassicales; Brassicaceae
Exons: 6
Source: RefSeq, a predicted model, not a curated record